UAAUACGGAGGGUGCAAGCGUUGUUCGGAAUCACUGGGCGUAAAGCGCGUGUAGGCGGCCUCCUCAGUCUGGUGUGAAAGCCCGGGGCUCACCCCCGGAAGUGCAUUGGAUACUGGGAGGCUGGAGUACCGGAGAGGAGGGUGGAAUUCCUGGUGUAGCGGUGAAAUGCGUAGAUAUCAGGAGGAACACCGGUGGCGAAGGCGGCCCUCUGGACGGAUACUGACGCUGAGACGCGAAAGCGUGGGGAGCAAACAGG
RNAcentral lists this ribosomal RNA (256 nucleotides) under uncultured bacterium. Its description in RNAcentral is "partial 16S ribosomal RNA". It matches the Rfam family "Bacterial small subunit ribosomal RNA", at positions 521 to 776 of the family's 1533-position model. The record is from RNAcentral.